This 371-nucleotide long non-coding RNA is filed under the name Glycine max (soybean). RNAcentral's name for it is "long non-coding RNA (GMAX_LNC003050)". The record is from RNAcentral. Lineage: Eukaryota; Viridiplantae; Streptophyta; Magnoliopsida; Fabales; Fabaceae.
UGAGAUCAAUCAUCUUGCACUCGUUGCUCCAGGUAAUUUCGGCACUAGACAAUUUAGAUUUUAGAAUUUAGGAUGCUCAAAGCUAAAAUUACACAUACGAGUCGACAUGUUAGUGCAAAUAACCAAAGAUUAAAAUUUUAGUAUUUAUUAUAAUGGGUUACUUUGUUGGCCCGCAAACCAAACUCAUUUAACCUAUGGGCUAUAAGGAGUAAGUUGAACUAAAUUGUCUAGUUAGGCUUAUUAGUAGUCCAUUCAGGUUUGGACUAUGAGUUAAAUAAGUCAUCCACAGACCUUAACUCAUAUACCCUAGUUCUAUCCAAAGUUUAACUAGAAAUUGAAAGGUUUUAUCUUCUUCUUUUUUUUGUCAUUUU